UGAACGCUAGCUACAGGCUUAACACAUGCAAGUCGAGGGGAAACGACAUCGAAAGCUUGCUUUUGAUGGGCGUCGACCGGCGCACGGGUGAGUAACGCGUAUCCAACCUGCCCACCACUUGGGGAUAACCUUGCGAAAGUAAGACUAAUACCCAAUGACGUCUCUAGAAGACAUCUGAAAGAGAUUAAAGAUUUAUCGGUGAUGGAUGGGGAUGCGUCUGAUUAGCUUGUUGGCGGGGUAACGGCCCACCAAGGCAACGAUCAGUAGGGGUUCUGAGAGGAAGGUCCCCCACAUUGGAACUGAGACACGGUCCAAACUCCUACGGGAGGCAGCAGUGAGGAAUAUUGGUCAAUGGACGAGAGUCUGAACCAGCCAAGUAGCGUGCAGGAUGACGGCCCUAUGGGUUGUAAACUGCUUUUAUAAGGGAAUAAAGUGAGUCUCGUGAGACUUUUUGCAUGUACCUUAUGAAUAAGGACCGGCUAAUUCCGUGCCAGCAGCCGCGGUAAUACGGAAGGUCCGGGCGUUAUCCGGAUUUAUUGGGUUUAAAGGGAGCGUAGGCCGGAGAUUAAGCGUGUUGUGAAAUGUAGACGCUCAACGUCUGCACUGCAGCGCGAACUGGUUUCCUUGAGUACGCACAAAGUGGGCGGAAUUCGUGGUGUAGCGGUGAAAUGCUUAGAUAUCACGAAGAACUCCGAUUGCGAAGGCAGCUCACUGGAGCGCAACUGACGCUGAAGCUCGAAAGUGCGGGUAUCGAACAGGAUUAGAUACCCUGGUAGUCCGCACGGUAAACGAUGGAUGCCCGCUGUUGGUCUGAAUAGGUCAGCGGCCAAGCGAAAGCAUUAAGCAUCCCACCUGGGGAGUACGCCGGCAACGGUGAAACUCAAAGGAAUUGACGGAA
RNAcentral lists this ribosomal RNA (898 nucleotides) under uncultured bacterium. RNAcentral's name for it is "bacterial SSU rRNA". It matches the Rfam family "Bacterial small subunit ribosomal RNA", at positions 30 to 918 of the family's 1533-position model. The record is from RNAcentral.